GCGGAAGUGGCGGAAUUGGUAGACGCACCAGAUUUAGGUUCUGGCGCCGUAAGGUGUGAGAGUUCAAGUCUUUUCUUCCGGACCA
This 85-nucleotide transfer RNA is filed under the name Vibrio parahaemolyticus. RNAcentral's name for it is "tRNA-Leu". It matches the Rfam family "tRNA". Rfam says of the family: Transfer RNA (tRNA) molecules are approximately 80 nucleotides in length. Their secondary structure includes four short double-helical elements and three loops (D, anti-codon, and T loops). The record is from RNAcentral. Lineage: Bacteria; Pseudomonadati; Pseudomonadota; Gammaproteobacteria; Vibrionales; Vibrionaceae.